AGAGUUUGAUCAUGGCUCAGAUUGAACGCUGGCGGAAUGCUUUACACAUGCAAGUCGAACGGCAGCACGGACUCCGGUCUGGUGGCGAGUAGCGAACGGGUGAGUAAUAUAUCGGAACGUGCCCAGUCGUGGGGGAUAACGUAGUGAAAAUUACGCUAAUACCGCAUACGAUCUAAGGAUGAAAGCGGGGGAUCGCAAGACCUCGCGCGAUUGGAGCGGCCGAUAUCAGAUUAGGUAGUUGGUGAGGUAAAGGCUCACCAAGCCAACGAUCUGUAGCUGGUCUGAGAGGACGACCAGCCACAUUGGAACUGAGACACGGUCCAGGCUCCUACGGGAGGCAGCAGUGGGGAAUUUUGGACAAUGGACGCAAGUCUGAUCCAGCCAUUCCGCGUGCAGGACGAAGGCCUUCGGGUUGUAAACUGCUUUUGUACAGAACGAAAAGGUCUCUAUUAAUACUAGGGGCUCAUGACGGUACUGUAAGAAUAAGCACCGGCUAACUACGUGCCAGCAGCCGCGGUAAUACGUAGGGUGCAAGCGUUAAUCGGAAUUACUGGGCGUAAAGCGUGCGCAGGCGGUUAUAUAAGACAGAUGUGAAAUCCCCGGGCUCAACCUGGGAACUGCAUUUGUGACUGUAUAGCUGGAGUGCGGCAGAGGGGGAUGGAAUUCCGCGUGUAGCAGUGAAAUGCGUAGAUAUGCGGAGGAACACCGAUGGCGAAGGCAACCCCCUGGGCCUGCACUGACGCUCAUGCACGAAAGCGUGGGGAGCAAACAGGAUUAGAUACC
This 783-nucleotide ribosomal RNA is filed under the name uncultured bacterium. RNAcentral describes it as "bacterial SSU rRNA". It matches the Rfam family "Bacterial small subunit ribosomal RNA", at positions 8 to 786 of the family's 1533-position model. The record is from RNAcentral.